This 425-nucleotide ribosomal RNA is filed under the name uncultured bacterium. RNAcentral's name for it is "bacterial SSU rRNA". It matches the Rfam family "Bacterial small subunit ribosomal RNA", at positions 917 to 1344 of the family's 1533-position model. The record is from RNAcentral.
GGGCCCGCACAAGCGGUGGAGUAUGUGGUUUAAUUCGAUGCAACGCGAAGAACCUUACCAGGGUUUGACAUCCUGCGAAUCUCUUGGAAACAGGAGAGUGCCUUCGGGAACGCAGUGACAGGUGGUGCAUGGCUGUCGUCAGCUCGUGUCGUGAGAUGUUGGGUUAAGUCCCGCAACGAGCGCAACCCACGUCUUUAGUUGCCAGCAUUUAGUUGGGCACUCUAGAGGGACUGCCGGUGAUAAGCCGGAGGAAGGUGGGGAUGACGUCAAGUCCUCAUGGCCCUUAUGGGCUGGGCUACACACGUGCUACAAUGGCGGCGACAGAGGGUUGCGAUCCCGCAAGGGCAAGCUAAUCCCCAAAAGCCGUCUCAGUUCGGAUUGUUCUCUGCAACUCGAGAGCAUGAAGGUGGAAUCGCUAGUAAUCG